UCUUCUGUGCCUCCUGCAUUGCAGGCGGGUUCUUUACCACUACACCACCUGGGAAGCCCUUCUUUCCCCUUUGACUGUGAGAGUGGUCUUCCUCAUCUCAGGCUGCAUUUAUAUGUUUGUGAUGCUCUCAUGUCUCCAUGGGUGGAGAUCACACGCCAGAUCAGUAACCAGGAAAUGAAGAUUCUGUUCCUGGUUUCCAAGCUGCUGGCUUUCAGAAACCUCGAGUUCUUGUCCGAGUCUUCCCUGGCAUGGACGUAAGGACAGAUUUGGAAGGGGCCUUAGACUCGCUCUGUCCAGACUUCCUCAUCUUACAAACAAGACUUUUCUGGUAGAUGUAAUGAACGCAAGCAUAUACAGAGAUCAGAGUCCCAUCUUAGACUAGAAACGGCUGCCUCUGCUGCAGGCUGUGGUUGCAGGUUUGAGGAAUUGUUUGCUUCAUCCUGUGUGCCCCACACGGAAGAAUGAGAACCGCCGGUGAACCUCGUGAACAGGGAGGCAGAUGGCAGCUCAUAGGAGGAAGCACAUCCCAAUGCCUAAUGUUUUCUGAAUUGUGAGAUUAUCGGAGACCGGUAGUGAGCUCCCUGUGGCAGGAGAUGGUCAAGCAGAGGUUAUGUAAGCCCCUUAAGGGAAUGUGGAGCUGGGAUCACAUUGAAGGGGGCUCAGUGGCUUCAGUGCCUGACCCAAAGGGCCCAUGACUCCCCGGGACCCAAGACUCCUGCCUUUCUAUCUGGGAGAGUGGAGGAGCGGGAAGGGGCAGGGCUUCCAUGAUAGAAAAACCCUUCUGCCUAAGGAGGUCUCACUGUUGGCUGACAACCCAUGAUUUUGUGGGAUGUUUUCUGAAAUGUAGGUCUGGGCCUUCUAAUUUAAUUUUCACUCCCAAGGGGGUGUCUAAUUAGAUGAAAGGCCAUCACACUUAAGAGGAUGUUCCAGAACCUCCUUCCGGGGAAAUGAGCCCAGGAAAUGGUCGAGGAGUGUCCCAGACACUCAGCUGGAACUGAUGGGGCAGAUGAAAGCACAGGAAAGUCUGUUGUCCAGUUCUGGGCAGACGCCUGGACAUCUCCAAGGACCAGAGUCUAUGGACCUCAGUCUUCAGGGGUUCGUGCAGGGUGGGGUCCACAGAAGUCUCUUCCAGUGGGUGAAGCAGAUCUGAUUGCCUCUCUCAGCCCUGCCUCUCAGCAGCUGUUCCCUGGGUAAGUCACGUGGCAUCUGCAUGGGUGUUUGUGUCAGCAUCAUGCGAGGAUGGCUCCCCUCCCUCUCGGGUGUGAGCACCGCCCCAAAGCAGGUAGAUGAUGUUCCUAACACAAAGCUGGGGAGGAAGUGGUUUGAAUCCCACAUCUUGAUUUACUGAGUAGGGUAGUCAGUCUUCGAAGUUUCUUCCUCAGCUCGGGGCCAGCCCAGACCGAAUGUGGUUUCCUCUCGGUGUGUAUGCACACAUGCGGGCAAGCGUGCGUGGGUCUUGGCGACUCGCCUUUCAUGGACCUGGGGUUCAUGGCCACCUGAGGAGCCCAGGACUCCCUCUCAGACCUGCCCAACAUGCCAAGACGUUUUGGGACCCAGAUAGACACUCAUAGACCUGGGCAAACACCCGGUUCAUAAAUCUUCGAUGCCUGGCCUUACCUCUAUGUUAGAAUAUGGUAUAAGUUUGGAUUUGGUUUAACACCAAAUCAGCUAGUUAGUUACUUUCUUUAACUCUAUGUCUCUCAGAGAGCACUUUCACUUCCAGACCAUCUACCCCCAGAAAGCUUUGAGAAGCCCCUGAGAGCCACAGCUCCAAAAGGAUUAUUCUUCAGAAGUGGGGAGGCUUGAGAUCUAGCUGUGGUUCUCUCUGCAACCUGCCAUUAACAACCCUCUUGAACUUGCUGGGUCUCAGUUUCCCACUUCUGCUUGGAGAACAGCCGUGCCUACCUCAUCCUACCUCAUGGGUUGGUAUGAGGCUCAAGGGGAUGGAAGGGUUGUGAAAUGCAAUGUCAACCCAUUCCAACUGAUUCUUACAUGAAUAAAUUCCAUGAUGACUUGGGUGCAGAGUCUGUGCAAGUCUCAUGGUAGGCUCUGGGACCCAAAGGUAGCAGGACCUACCCUCUGCCAUGAGCUCACAGGCUAUUCUUAUUUCUAGAAGCAGACUUCAAGACUGUGAGCCUUUUGUGCCCACAUGGCAUAGUGUCUGCUUGCCUGUGAAUUUUUGGUAAGAGAGUUCUUAACAUGCUUGUCCCUUUCCCUACCCCACACAAUCGCUCUGCAGGAGAGAAGGAGGGGGCCAGCUAACACCCUCUGUCCAGAUGGCAGUUGGAGUCAAUGAAGCUCAGAGGAGUGAGUGAGUCACCAGGACCGAGUAGCAAGAUGGCAGCUGAUGGGAGAUCAGGGCUCCUGCCUGCCCUUUUUAAAAAAUCAUAUCAAGAUUUAAUGUACAUAUACUCUUUUUUUUAAAAAAAUACAUAUGUUCCUAACAUGUGGGACAUACAGUAUAAAGAUUUCAUACUGGAUAAAUGAUGCUCAUUAAGCCAAAAGAGAGAAAAAGGAGGACUUUGCCUUGCUUCAGCUACAUUAUUUGAAAUACAAAUAUGCAGAUUUUGUUACUGGGAAAAAUCUGAACUGUUUCUUUAUCAGGAACUUCAACUGAAUCUAGACUUUUCCACACCUCAAUUAUAAAGAAAGCACAACAAUAACAAAACUCAGAAAAACUGGACUAAAACUUCCUUAGCUCCUGAGACAGGACUGUUUCACAUCGUGUCAAGAGAGACGACGUCCAGCAGGAGAUUGAAUGGCUGUGUCUCACUUUCACAGGUCACCCACCUGCCAAGUUGUGAUACUACAAAAGAGUGACUGUGGAGACUCAGAGGGUGUGUGCAGCAGGAACGUCAUACAUGCAGAUCGCAGAGCUCAUUGCUUUCCCAGGAAUGAGUUGCAAGGCAGAAAGACCAGGGAUGCUCAGAGCUUGAGUGCAGUUGCUGUGUCCCUGGCAUGACUGGGCUGCCACUGGAAUCUCAUCACCUGCCAGACUCAGGAGGAAUUAGGGAGGACAUCUUGGGUGGGGUGGUGGGGGCAGGGGGGCCUUCCAAGCCUCUGUGGACAAAGCCUGGAGGGGCCAGCACUAGGGAGGACCUCUGUGUGGUCUUAGGCCUGUGCAAGGCCCUGCCCUUGCAUAGGAAGAGAUGAUCCUCAUUCCUGGCUUUCCCCAAAGACUGUCUCCUUGAGUUCUUCCACAGCGGUCAUCAACUGGAGACCUGGGGGCCUUGUGUGGUCUGCAGACAGGUUUUAUUUGAUUGAAUUGUUUUCAAUAAUUGCAAUAGCAGUCAGCAUUGAAACACUGAUUUCAAAUCAAAACUCUGGGCCUUUUCUGAGAACUUGGGACAUCUGGCCACCCAGGAGCCCAGCCCUGUGUGGCCACUAUUGCUGGGGCCAGUUGAGUCCCUGCUGCCCUUUAGCACAUGUCCCUGGGUUCCCACCCAGCCAGCCUCCCUCAUUUUCAUCACCUGCCUGGCAUGGCUCCUGGGACCCAUCCCCAAGUCUGUAUUUUAUUGAUGGUGAAGCCGGAGGCCUGGCUUAAAAGAUGUAGAAAUGGAAACUCUGAGAGUCCUCCUCAUCCCAGCACUUUUGAGCAGCUUCAGGUUUCUGUGGGCCAGAAACAGCUGGGCCAACAGAAGAGGAGGUGAUGGUGGCCCUCACUCCGCCUCCACCGUGGAAUGUGCCCCCUCCCCACCCCCCAAAACCAUUGCAUUUUCCAGAUUAAAGAUUCCAGGCAGGCUGGGGCUUAUUUCCCACUCAGUGUCUGGGACGUAUUUUCUCCUUCAAGUCAUUACAGGUUCGAGAUCUCCAGCAACCCCAGGUCUUGAAGGCGGGGCUGUCUUCUCUGACAGCCCCAGGGUGCUCAGACACCAAGCUUCCUCUGUUCCCUUUCCAUUCACCCCGCUCUAGCCUUUGGUCUGGGUGCAGCCUGUCAGCAUUAAGUAAGCACUUCUUAAUGCUUAUGAGUGGUUUGCUCAUAACAAUUCUUCAGAUCUUGGGAGCCCGGCUGUGGGGCUCUGCAUAUGUAUAGAUCUCAUUUUCACACAACAGGCUGCUUAGCAGAUGGGGACCCAGACCAGCCUCCAACAUUUAGCUCUGAGUUAAGACGUGGGAAACUAGGUGGCUUUUAACCAGCCCAUAUUGCUGCCAGUGCUCAACCUUAGGGAAUUUUCACAGGGAAAAGGGAAAAAAAAAAAAAAAAGACACAAAAAACC
Bubalus bubalis (water buffalo) is the source of this 4217-nucleotide long non-coding RNA. RefSeq lists it as uncharacterized. The transcript is spliced from 2 exons. The record is from RefSeq and is a predicted model, not a curated record. NCBI's taxonomy places the organism in Eukaryota, Metazoa, Chordata, Mammalia, Artiodactyla, Bovidae.